UUUUUUUAAAAUAUACUGCAGUGCCAACAAAGAAUGUGCAAUGACAAGAAAUGAGUUAUUGUUUGAAAAUCAAAAAUGUUAAAUGUUCACAUUGUUUUUAUUUGAACAGCAAUUUUCAGAUCUCAGGACAAGUUUUCUUUGGAACACAUUAUAAAUUUUUGUUUUUCAAAUGAUUUCAACUGACAUAAACAAGACUGGAAAGGUCGAAAUUACCAAAAUGCUAAUUUCACUAUUAUUGGUUCUUUUGUCGUGCCCAGCUCUUAAUGAUGGAAAACCCUGUAUCACAGUAACAUUCCUUUAAAUGAACUGGAGAAGUCUUGAUUACAAUAAUCAUAUUGCUUUUUACUUUUCAACACUAUUGGAUCUUGUGUCAUACCAGCUUUAGAUGGUGGAUGGAGUAUAUGGAGGUGUUAAGAAUUGCACAAGAGGUGUUCCUGCUACCUCUCUAUAUGUAGACAAUGUCACUGUUGUUGUGACGUUCUUAUUUCUAAGCCUUAAUUUAUGUCCGUUACAACGCCCUUAGGGAGGAAAACUACACCCUCAAAUGGACUGUAGAAGUCCAGAUUACAAUAAUGGUACUUUCAGCACCAUUGCACGGUUUGGUUGUCUUGCCCAGCUCUUAAUGGUCCAAAAUGCUGUACAAUGGAUUAUGAUUUAAAAAUUGAAGAUAAAAGAUUAAGUUUUGAAUAUAUCUACUUUUUUUCUUUGAAGAUGGCAAAUCAAAUUAUUAAUUCAUUAAAAAUUCAGAAUAACUCAAAUCUUUACACCACACAAACGCGACAACAAAGAAUGUGCAAUGAAAAGAAUUGAGUUAUUGUUUGAAACAUCAAAAAUGUUAAAGUUUCACGCAUUGUUUUUUAUUUGAACAGCAAUUUUCAGAUCUCAGGACAAGUUUUCUUUGGAACACACUCAGGACAAGUUAUCUUUGGAAGACAUUAUAAAUUUCUGUUUUGCAAAAGAUUAAAAGUUUUGGAUACUUUCUUUUUUUCUUUGAAGAUAACAAAUCUAAUUAUUAAUUCAUUAAAAAUUCAGACUAACCCAAUUGUUUACACCACACAAACUUUCCGGAGGUAACAUAUUUAUUUUUUGUCCAUUCUUUUUUCUUUCUUUUUUUCUUUUUUUUAAAAUAUACUGCAGUGCCAACAAAGAAUGUGCAAUGACAAGAAAUGAGUUAUUGUUUGAAAAUCAAAAAUGUUAAAUGUUCACAUUGUUUUUAUUUGAACAGCAAUUUUCAGAUCUCAGGACAAGUUUUCUUUGGAACACAUUAUAAAUUUUUGUUUUUCAAAUGAUUUCAACUGACAUAAACAAGACUGGAAAGGUCGAAAUUACCAAAAUGCUAAUUUCACUAUUAUUGGUUCUUUUGUCGUGCCCAGCUCUUAAUGAUGGAAAACCCUGUAUCACAGUAACAUUCCUUUAAAUGAACUGGAGAAGUCUUGAUUACAAUAAUCAUAUUGCUUUUUACUUUUCAACACUAUUGGAUCUUGUGUCAUACCAGCUUUAGAUGGUGGAUGGAGUAUAUGGAGGUGUUAAGAAUUGCACAAGAGGUGUUCCUGCUACCUCUCUAUAUGUAGACAAUGUCACUGUUGUUGUGACGUUCUCAUUUCUAAGCCUUAAUUUAUGUCCGUUACAACGCCCUUAGGGAGAAAAACUACACCCUCAAAUGGACUGUAGAAGUCCAGAUUACAAUAAUGGUACUUUCAGCACCAUUGCACGGUUUGGUUGUCUUGCCCAGCUCUUAAUGGUCCAAAAUGCUGUACAAUGGAUUAUGUUUUAAAAAUUGAAGAUAAAAGAUUAAGUUUUGAAUAUCUUCUUUUUUUCUCUGAAGAUGGCAAAUCAAAUUAUUAAUUCACGAGCUCUAGAUAAUAAAAAUAUCAGGUGUUAAAGUUUGGAGGUAUAAACAAGUCAUUCUCAAUCAAAAUAUUGCAAAAUUGUAAUGUUAGCGGAUUUUCUCAUUGUUGAAGCCCAUACAGUAACCUAUUUUACAUUAACAUCAUUUGGUCUCUGUAGGAUAGUUGUCUCACAUCUCUUGAUAUCACAACAAAUCAAUUUGUAGGUUCUAUAAAGUGGGCCAAUGGUGAAGGUAGGGGAAAUUUUGACUGUCAAUCGAGGAGGAAAUUAUUGGACAGAAAUUUGGCCUAACGCAACAAGCCAAGUCCUACUAACACCUCAAAAGAGUUGUGACAAGGGUUCUUCAACGUGCAGAGUUGCACUGUCCCUACAGAAAGGACCUAUACUUUUUAAACUGCCAUUCCAAUUUUUUUUGUUUUAAAUAUGAGAACUUUAGAAGACUUAAAGGUGGGGGUCAUAAAAAUAUCAAAAUUAUCCCACCCUCAAUGUUUAUUAUCUAGAACUAUGUUUUCUAUUUUGCUUUCAUAUUAUUUUUUGGUAUUUUCUUUUUUAUAUUUUUUUUUCUUUUUUUUUUUACAAAGCUCUAGAUAAUAAAAAUAUCAGAUGUUAAAGUUUGGAGGUAUAAACAAGUCAUUCUAAAUCAGAAUAUUGCAAAAUUUUAAUGUUAGUGGAUUUUCUCAUUGUUGAAGCCCAUACAGUAACCUAUUUUACAUUAACAUCAUUUGGUCUCUGUAGGAUAGUUGUCUCACAUCUCUUGAUAUCACAACAAAUCAAUUUGUAGGUUCUAUAAAGUGGUCCAAUCCUAUGGUGAAGGGAGGGGGAAUUUUGACUGCCAACCGAAGAGGAUAUUUUUGGACAGAAAUUUAGCCUAUUAAUGCAACAAGCCACAUCCUACUGACACCUCAAAAGAGUUGUGACAAGGGUUCUUUAACGUGCAGAGUGGCACUGUCUGUCCCUACAAAUAGGACCUAUACUUUCCCGCUACCUCUAUGUGUAGACAACAUCACUGUUGUGACAUUCUUAUUUCUAAGCCUUAAUUUAUGUCCGUUACAACGCCCUUAGGGAGGAAAUAGUAGCAGAUAGUAGCAGAUAUUACUACACCCUCAAAUGGAUUGUAGAAGUCCAGUUUACAAUAAUGGUACUUUCAGCACCAUAACCUGCUUUGGUUGUCUUGUCCAGCUCUCAAUGGUCCAAAAUGCUGUACAAUGGAUUAUGAUUUAAAAAUUGAAGAUAAAAGAUUAAGUUUUGAAUAUAUCUACUUUUUUUCUUUGAAGAUGGCAAAUCAAAUUAUUAAUUCAUUAAAAAUUCAGAAUAACUCAAAUCUUUACACCACACAAACGCGACAACAAAGAAUGUGCAAUGAAAAGAAUUGAGUUAUUGUUUGAAACAUCAAAAAUGUUAAAGUUUCACGCAUUGUUUUUUAUUUGAACAGCAAUUUUCAGAUCUCAGGACAAGUUUUCUUUGGAACACACUCAGGACAAGUUAUCUUUGGAAGACAUUAUAAAUUUCUGUUUUGCAAAAGAUUAAAAGUUUUGGAUACUUUCUUUUUUUCUUUGAAGAUAACAAAUCUAAUUAUUAAUUCAUUAAAAAUUCAGACUAACCCAAUUGUUUACACCACACAAACUUUCCGGAGGUAACAUAUUUAUUUUUUGUCCAUUCUUUUUUCUUUCUUUUUUUCUUUUUUUUAAAAUAUACUGCAGUGCCAACAAAGAAUGUGCAAUGACAAGAAAUGAGUUAUUGUUUGAAAAUCAAAAAUGUUAAAUGUUCACAUUGUUUUUAUUUGAACAGCAAUUUUCAGAUCUCAGGACAAGUUUUCUUUGGAACACAUUAUAAAUUUUUGUUUUUCAAAUGAUUUCAACUGACAUAAACAAGACUGGAAAGGUCGAAAUUACCAAAAUGCUAAUUUCACUAUUAUUGGUUCUUUUGUCGUGCCCAGCUCUUAAUGAUGGAAAACCCUGUAUCACAGUAACAUUCCUUUAAAUGAACUGGAGAAGUCUUGAUUACAAUAAUCAUAUUGCUUUUUACUUUUCAACACUAUUGGAUCUUGUGUCAUACCAGCUUUAGAUGGUGGAUGGAGUAUAUGGAGGUGUUAAGAAUUGCACAAGAGGUGUUCCUGCUACCUCUCUAUAUGUAGACAAUGUCACUGUUGUUGUGACGUUCUCAUUUCUAAGCCUUAAUUUAUGUCCGUUACAACGCCCUUAGGGAGAAAAACUACACCCUCAAAUGGACUGUAGAAGUCCAGAUUACAAUAAUGGUACUUUCAGCACCAUUGCACGGUUUGGUUGUCUUGCCCAGCUCUUAAUGGUCCAAAAUGCUGUACAAUGGAUUAUGUUUUAAAAAUUGAAGAUAAAAGAUUAAGUUUUGAAUAUCUUCUUUUUUUCUCUGAAGAUGGCAAAUCAAAUUAUUAAUUCACGAGCUCUAGAUAAUAAAAAUAUCAGGUGUUAAAGUUUGGAGGUAUAAACAAGUCAUUCUCAAUCAAAAUAUUGCAAAAUUGUAAUGUUAGUGGAUUUUCUCAUUGUUGAAGCCCAUACAGUAACCUAUUUUACAUUAACAUCAUUUGGUCUCUGUAGGAUAGUUGUCUCACAUCUCUUGAUAUCACAACAAAUCAAUUUGUAGGUUCUAUAAAGUGGGCCAAUGGUGAAGGUAGGGGAAAUUUUGACUGUCAAUCGAGGAGGAAAUUAUUGGACAGAAAUUUGGCCUAACGCAACAAGCCAAGUCCUACUAACACCUCAAAAGAGUUGUGACAAGGGUUCUUCAACGUGCAGAGUUGCACUGUCCCUACAGAAAGGACCUAUACUUUUUAAACUGCCAUUCCAAUUUUUUUUGUUUUAAAUAUGAGAACUUUAGAAGACUUAAAGGUGGGGGUCAUAAAAAUAUCAAAAUUAUCCCACCCUCAAUGUUUAUUAUCUAGAACUAUGUUUUCUAUUUUGCUUUCAUAUUAUUUUUUGGUAUUUUCUUUUUUAUAUUUUUUUUUCUUUUUUUUUUUACAAAGCUCUAGAUAAUAAAAAUAUCAGAUGUUAAAGUUUGGAGGUAUAAACAAGUCAUUCUAAAUCAGAAUAUUGCAAAAUUUUAAUGUUAGUGGAUUUUCUCAUUGUUGAAGCCCAUACAGUAACCUAUUUUACAUUAACAUCAUUUGGUCUCUGUAGGAUAGUUGUCUCACAUCUCUUGAUAUCACAACAAAUCAAUUUGUAGGUUCUAUAAAGUGGUCCAAUCCUAUGGUGAAGGGAGGGGGAAUUUUGACUGCCAACCGAAGAGGAUAUUUUUGGACAGAAAUUUAGCCUAUUAAUGCAACAAGCCACAUCCUACUGACACCUCAAAAGAGUUGUGACAAGGGUUCUUUAACGUGCAGAGUGGCACUGUCUGUCCCUACAAAUAGGACCUAUACUUUCCCGCUACCUCUAUGUGUAGACAACAUCACUGUUGUGACAUUCUUAUUUCUAAGCCUUAAUUUAUGUCCGUUACAACGCCCUUAGGGAGGAAAUAGUAGCAGAUAGUAGCAGAUAUUACUACACCCUCAAAUGGAUUGUAGAAGUCCAGUUUACAAUAAUGGUACUUUCAGCACCAUAACCUGCUUUGGUUGUCUUGUCCAGCUCUCAAUGGUCCAAAAUGCUGUACAAUGGAUUAUGAUUUAAAAAUUGAAGAUAAAAGAUUAAGUUUUGAAUAUAUCUACUUUUUUUCUUUGAAGAUGGCAAAUCAAAUUAUUAAUUCAUUAAAAAUUCAGAAUAACUCAAAUCUUUACACCACACAAACGCGACAACAAAGAAUGUGCAAUGAAAAGAAUUGAGUUAUUGUUUGAAACAUCAAAAAUGUUAAAGUUUCACGCAUUGUUUUUUAUUUGAACAGCAAUUUUCAGAUCUCAGGACAAGUUUUCUUUGGAACACACUCAGGACAAGUUAUCUUUGGAAGACAUUAUAAAUUUCUGUUUUGCAAAAGAUUAAAAGUUUUGGAUACUUUCUUUUUUUCUUUGAAGAUAACAAAUCUAAUUAUUAAUUCAUUAAAAAUUCAGACUAACCCAAUUGUUUACACCACACAAACUUUCCGGAGGUAACAUAUUUAUUUUUUGUCCAUUCUUUUUUCUUUCUUUUUUUCUUUUUUUUAAAAUAUACUGCAGUGCCAACAAAGAAUGUGCAAUGACAAGAAAUGAGUUAUUGUUUGAAAAUCAAAAAUGUUAAAUGUUCACAUUGUUUUUAUUUGAACAGCAAUUUUCAGAUCUCAGGACAAGUUUUCUUUGGAACACAUUAUAAAUUUUUGUUUUUCAAAUGAUUUCAACUGACAUAAACAAGACUGGAAAGGUCGAAAUUACCAAAAUGCUAAUUUCACUAUUAUUGGUUCUUUUGUCGUGCCCAGCUCUUAAUGAUGGAAAACCCUGUAUCACAGUAACAUUCCUUUAAAUGAACUGGAGAAGUCUUGAUUACAAUAAUCAUAUUGCUUUUUACUUUUCAACACUAUUGGAUCUUGUGUCAUACCAGCUUUAGAUGGUGGAUGGAGUAUAUGGAGGUGUUAAGAAUUGCACAAGAGGUGUUCCUGCUACCUCUCUAUAUGUAGACAAUGUCACUGUUGUUGUGACGUUCUUAUUUCUAAGCCUUAAUUUAUGUCCGUUACAACGCCCUUAGGGAGGAAAAACUACACCCUCAAAUGGACUGUAGAAGUCCAGAUUACAAUAAUGGUACUUUCAGCACCAUUGCACGGUUUGGUUGUCUUGCCCAGCUCUUAAUGGUCCAAAAUGCUGUACAAUGGAUUAUGUUUUAAAAAUUGAAGAUAAAAGAUUAAGUUUUGAAUAUCUUCUUUUUUUCUCUGAAGAUGGCAAAUCAAAUUAUUAAUUCACGAGCUCUAGAUAAUAAAAAUAUCAGGUGUUAAAGUUUGGAGGUAUAAACAAGUCAUUCUCAAUCAAAAUAUUGCAAAAUUGUAAUGUUAGUGGAUUUUCUCAUUGUUGAAGCCCAUACAGUAACCUAUUUUACAUUAACAUCAUUUGGUCUCUGUAGGAUAGUUGUCUCACAUCUCUUGAUAUCACAACAAAUCAAUUUGUAGGUUCUAUAAAGUGGGCCAAUGGUGAAGGUAGGGGAAAUUUUGACUGUCAAUCGAGGAGGAAAUUAUUGGACAGAAAUUUGGCCUAACGCAACAAGCCAAGUCCUACUAACACCUCAAAAGAGUUGUGACAAGGGUUCUUCAACGUGCAGAGUUGCACUGUCCCUACAGAAAGGACCUAUACUUUUUAAACUGCCAUUCCAAUUUUUUUUGUUUUAAAUAUGAGAACUUUAGAAGACUUAAAGGUGGGGGUCAUAAAAAUAUCAAAAUUAUCCCACCCUCAAUGUUUAUUAUCUAGAACUAUGUUUUCUAUUUUGCUUUCAUAUUAUUUUUUGGUAUUUUCUUUUUUAUAUUUUUUUUUCUUUUUUUUUUUACAAAGCUCUAGAUAAUAAAAAUAUCAGAUGUUAAAGUUUGGAGGUAUAAACAAGUCAUUCUAAAUCAGAAUAUUGCAAAAUUUUAAUGUUAGUGGAUUUUCUCAUUGUUGAAGCCCAUACAGUAACCUAUUUUACAUUAACAUCAUUUGGUCUCUGUAGGAUAGUUGUCUCACAUCUCUUGAUAUCACAACAAAUCAAUUUGUAGGUUCUAUAAAGUGGUCCAAUCCUAUGGUGAAGGGAGGGGGAAUUUUGACUGCCAACCGAAGAGGAUAUUUUUGGACAGAAAUUUAGCCUAUUAAUGCAACAAGCCACAUCCUACUGACACCUCAAAAGAGUUGUGACAAGGGUUCUUUAACGUGCAGAGUGGCACUGUCUGUCCCUACAAAUAGGACCUAUACUUUCCCGCUACCUCUAUGUGUAGACAACAUCACUGUUGUGACAUUCUUAUUUCUAAGCCUUAAUUUAUGUCCGUUACAACGCCCUUAGGGAGGAAAUAGUAGCAGAUAUUACUACACCCUCAAAUGGAUUGUAGAAGUCCAGUUUACAAUAAUGGUACUUUCAGCACCAUAACCCGCUUUGGUUGUCUUGUCCAGCUCUUAAUGGUCCAAAAUGCUGUACAAUGGAUUAUGAUUUAAAAAUUGAAGAUAAAAGAUUAAGUUUUGAAUAUAUCUACUUUUUUUCUUUGAAGAUGGCAAAUCAAAUUAUUAAUUCAUUAAAAAUUCAGAAUAACUCAAAUCUUUACACCACACAAACGCGCCAACAAAGAAUGUGCAAUGAAAAGAAUUGAGUUAUUGUUUGAAACAUCAAAAAUGUUAAAGUUUCACGCAUUGUUUUUUAUUUGAACAGCAAUUUUCAGAUCUCAGGACAAGUUUUCUUUGGAACACACUCAGGACAAGUUAUCUUUGGAAGACAUUAUAAAUUUCUGUUUUGCAAAAGAUUAAAAGUUUUGGAUACUUUCUUUUUUUCUUUGAAGAUAACAAAUCUAAUUAUUAAUUCAUUAAAAAUUCAGACUAACCCAAUUGUUUACACCACACAAACUUUCCGGAUAACAUAUUUAUUUUUUGUCCAUUCUUUUUUCUUUCUUUUUUUAAAAUAUACUGCAGUGCCAACAAAGAAUGUGCAAUGACAAGAAAUGAGUUAUUGUUUGAAAAUCAAAAAUGUUAAAUGUUCACAUUGUUUUUAUUUGAACAGCAAUUUUCAGAUCUCAGGACAAGUUUUCUUUGGAACACAUUAUAAAUUUUUGUUUUUCAAAUGAUUUCAACUGACAUAAACAAGACUGGAAAGGUCGAAAUUACCAAAAUGCUAAUUUCACUAUUAUUGGUUCUUUUGUCGUGCCCAGCUCUUAAUGAUGGAAAACCCUGUAUCACAGUAACAUUCCUUUAAAUGAACUGGAGAAGUCUUGAUUACAAUAAUCAUAUUGCUUUUUACUUUUCAACACUAUUGGAUCUUGUGUCAUACCAGCUUUAGAUGGUGGAUGGAGUAUAUGGAGGUGUUAAGAAUUGCACAAGAGGUGUUCCUGCUACCUCUCUAUAUGUAGACAACGUCACUGUUGUUGUGACGUUCUUAUUUCUAAGCCUUAAUUUAUGUCCGUUACAACGCCCUUAGGGAGGAAAACUACACCCUCAAAUGGACUGUAGAAGUCCAGAUUACAAUAAUGGUACUUUCAGCACCAUUGCACGGUUUGGUUGUCUUGCCCAGCUCUUAAUGGUCCAAAAUGCUGUACAAUGGAUUAUGUUUUAAAAAUUGAAGAUAAAAGAUUAAGUUUUGAAUAUCUUCUUUUUUUCUCUGAAGAUGGCAAAUCAAAUUAUUAAUUCACGAGCUCUAGAUAAUAAAAAUAUC
This 9086-nucleotide long non-coding RNA is filed under the name Mytilus galloprovincialis (Mediterranean mussel). The record is from RNAcentral. Lineage: Eukaryota; Metazoa; Mollusca; Bivalvia; Mytilida; Mytilidae.